Molecule: ribosomal RNA, 253 nt
Filed under: uncultured bacterium
Lineage: Bacteria
Description: partial 16S ribosomal RNA
Rfam family: Bacterial small subunit ribosomal RNA
Source: RNAcentral
UACGUAGGGGGCAAGCGUUGUUCGGAAUUACUGGGCGUAAAGGGCGCGUAGGCGGCACAGCAAGUCGGGAGUGAAAGCCCGGGGCUCAACCCCGGAAUGGCUUUCGAAACUGCUGAGCUAGAGUACAGAAGGGGCAACCGGAAUUCCCAGUGUAGCGGUGAAAUGCGUAGAUAUUGGGAAGAACACCUGAGGCGAAGGCGGGUUGCUGGGCUGAUACUGACGCUGAUGCGCGAAAGCCAGGGGAGCAAACGGG